GCGGAUGUGGCGGAACUGGUAGACGCCCUGGAUUUAGGUUCCAGUGCCGAGAGGCGUGUAGGUUCGACUCCUAUCAUCCGCACCA
This 85-nucleotide transfer RNA is filed under the name Aminobacter aminovorans. Its description in RNAcentral is "tRNA-Leu(tag)". It matches the Rfam family "tRNA". From Rfam's summary of the family: Transfer RNA (tRNA) molecules are approximately 80 nucleotides in length. Their secondary structure includes four short double-helical elements and three loops (D, anti-codon, and T loops). Further hydrogen bonds mediate the characteristic L-shaped molecular structure. tRNAs have two regions of fundamental functional importance: the anti-codon, which is responsible for specific mRNA codon recognition, and the 3' end, to which the tRNAs corresponding amino acid is attached (by aminoacyl-tRNA synthetases). tRNAs cope with the degeneracy of the genetic code in two manners: having more than one tRNA (with a specific anti-codon) for a particular amino acid; and 'wobble' base-pairing, i.e. permitting non-standard base-pairing at the 3rd anti-codon position. Lineage: Bacteria; Pseudomonadati; Pseudomonadota; Alphaproteobacteria; Hyphomicrobiales; Phyllobacteriaceae. RNAcentral also lists the same sequence under 26 other names. The record is from RNAcentral.